ACAUUUUUUUAUUACUUUAUCGACCACUCUGUUGAUUUUUUACCUAAAUUAUCCUCAGAUCUCAAAAUUCUUUACUCAUUUGAUGGAGAAGAUCUUUGUUUUCCAACUAAGGUUUGUAAUGAUAUUGUUUUUAGUCUUUAUUUUCUUCUCUCUCUGAUAUAACUUACAAAGGUAGAAGAAAAUCUAGAUUAACUUUGUAUUAUAUCGAUCUAUAUUCUAUAGCGAAAGUACGUGCAUGCAUGCAUGCUUUGUAGAUUGUACGAUACACUGCCAUAGUUAUCAUCAAACCCAAUCAUACAUAUAUAGCAAGUCAUAAUUUCAUUUUAUUAUCACAAUCAAUCAUAGAUAGUAAGUCAAGAUAUACAUUUCACAUUUUAAUAUGACAGCCACUCAUACAUAUAUAGCAUACAUAGCAAGCACGAUUACUGGUACGUAGUUUCAAAUUUUGUUAAGCUGGAGUGAAUAUACAUAGUAUAGUUGAACAUAUAGGAAGCAAAUUAAUCACCUAUUC
Molecule: long non-coding RNA, 511 nt
Filed under: Fragaria vesca (wild strawberry)
Lineage: Eukaryota; Viridiplantae; Streptophyta; Magnoliopsida; Rosales; Rosaceae
Description: long non-coding RNA (FVES_LNC004927)
Source: RNAcentral